UACGUAGGGUGCAAGCGUUGUCCGGAAUUAUUGGGCGUAAAGCGCGUGUAGGCGGCUUAGCAAGUCGGGCGUGAAAGCCCUCGGCUCAACCGAGGAAGUGCACCCGAAACUGCUGAGCUUGAGUGCCGGAGAGGAUGGCGGAAUUCCCCAAGUAGAGGUGAAAUUCGUAGAUAUGGGGAGGAACACCGGUGGCGAAGGCGGCCAUCUGGACGGUAACUGACGCUGAGACGCGAAAGCGUGGGGAGCAAACAGG
Molecule: ribosomal RNA, 253 nt
Filed under: uncultured bacterium
Lineage: Bacteria
Description: partial 16S ribosomal RNA
Rfam family: Bacterial small subunit ribosomal RNA
Source: RNAcentral